Molecule: ribosomal RNA, 468 nt
Filed under: uncultured bacterium
Lineage: Bacteria
Description: partial 16S ribosomal RNA
Rfam family: Bacterial small subunit ribosomal RNA
Source: RNAcentral
GACGAACGCUGGCGGCGUGCUUAACUCAUGCAAGUCGAACGGAAAGGCCCUGCUUUUGUGGGGUGCUCGAGUGGCGAACGGGUGAGUAACACGUGAGUAACCUGCCCUUGACUUUGGGAUAACUUCAGGAAACUGGGGCUAAUACCGGAUAGGAGCUCCUGCUGCAUGGUGGGGGUUGGAAAGUUUCGGCGGUUGGGGAUGGACUCGCGGCGUAUCAGCUUGUUGGUGGGGUAGUGGCUUACCAAGGCUUUGACGGGUAGCCGGCCUGAGAGGGUGACCGGCCACAUUGGGACUGAGAUACGGCCCAGACUCCUACGGGAGGCAGCAGUGGGGAAUAGUGCACAAUGGGCGGAAGCCUGAUGCAGCAACGCCGCGUGCGGGAUGACGGCCUUCGGGUUGUAAACCGCUUUCGCCUGUGACGAAGCGUGAGUGACGGUAAUGGGUAAAGAAGCACCGGCUAACUACGUG